GGACUGGAGUCUGCAACCCGACUCCACGAAGUUGGAUUCGCUAGUAAUCGCGGAUCAGCAUGCCGCGGUGAAUACGUUCCCGGGGAUUGUACACACCGCCCGUCACACCAUGAGAGUCGGGAACACCCAAAGUCCGUAGUCUAACCGCAAGGAGGACGCGGCCUAAGGUGGGUUCGAUAAUUGGGGUGAAGUCGUAACAAGGUAAC
Molecule: ribosomal RNA, 206 nt
Filed under: uncultured bacterium
Lineage: Bacteria
Description: partial 16S ribosomal RNA
Rfam family: Bacterial small subunit ribosomal RNA
Source: RNAcentral